UAUAAGGGAUUUUGAGUUUUUGUUUGCACUCUUUGAUCACUCGUCUUAUUCAAAAAAAAUUUGGAGUUAUUAUUUUUUUUUUGACUUGCUAUAUUAUCCAAAGUACUUUAAGCACAACUUUUCGUUUUUUAUAUUUGCACAAAUUUUUUGAAUAAGACGAGUGGUCAAACAGGGCAAGCAAAAACUCAAAAUCCCUUAUA
RNAcentral lists this microRNA precursor (200 nucleotides) under Oryza meridionalis. Its description in RNAcentral is "MIR812 microRNA precursor family". It matches the Rfam family "MIR812 microRNA precursor family". The record is from Rfam by way of RNAcentral. Lineage: Eukaryota; Viridiplantae; Streptophyta; Magnoliopsida; Poales; Poaceae.